CUCCCGGAUUCUGUCUACGGU
Molecule: small RNA, 21 nt
Filed under: Arabidopsis thaliana (thale cress)
Lineage: Eukaryota; Viridiplantae; Streptophyta; Magnoliopsida; Brassicales; Brassicaceae
Description: ATSL286160
Source: RNAcentral